UCAACCAAUGAUGAUAGUGUGCCAUGGAUUAAGGACUAUGAUUAAUCCAGUUCUGGAAGCCUUCGGUCAGGU
Ochotona princeps (American pika) is the source of this 72-nucleotide small nucleolar RNA. The record is from Ensembl. Lineage: Eukaryota; Metazoa; Chordata; Mammalia; Lagomorpha; Ochotonidae.